Molecule: ribosomal RNA, 253 nt
Filed under: uncultured bacterium
Lineage: Bacteria
Description: partial 16S ribosomal RNA
Rfam family: Bacterial small subunit ribosomal RNA
Source: RNAcentral
UACGUAGGGGGCAAGCGUUGUCCGGAAUCAUUGGGCGUAAAGCGCGUGUAGGCGGUCCGGUAAGUCUGCUGUGAAAGUCGGGGGCUCAACCCUCGAAUGCCGGUGGAUACUGUCGGGCUAGAGUGCGGAAGAGGCGAGUGGAAUUCCUGGUGUAGCGGUGAAAUGCGCAGAUAUCAGGAGGAACACCUAUUGCGAAGGCAGCUCGCUGGGACGUAACUGACGCUGAGACGCGAAAGCGUGGGGAGCAAACAGG